AGAAAUAGUCUCUAAGGUUAACUUUAUGGUGACCGUACCAAAACCGACACAGGUGGGAAGGUUGAGUAUACCAAGGCGCUCGAGUGAAAUCUCGCUAAGGAACUCGGCAAAAUGCCUCUGUAACUUCGGGAUAAAGAGGGCCCCUGCUGUUGAAGCAGGGGUUGCAGAUAAUAGGCCCAAGCGACUGUUUAUCAAAAACACAGGUCUCUGCUAAGUUGUAAAACGAUGUAUAGGGACUGACACCUGCCCGGUGCUGGAAGGUUAAGGAAGCUAGUGACUGCCUAAGGGUGGAAAGCCAGCGACCGAAGCCCCAGUAAACGGCGGCCGUAACAAUAACGGUCCUAAGGUAGCGAAAUUCCUUGUCGGGUAAGUUCCGACCUGCACGAAUGGUGUAACGAUUUGGGCGCUGUCUCGGCGAGAUGCUCGGUGAAAUUGAAGUAUCAGUGAAGAUGCUGAUUUCCUGCAAUAGGACGGAAAGACCCCGUGAACCUUUACUGUAACCUGGCAUUGGAAUUUGGUGUAGUAUGUGUAGGAUAGGUGGGAGGCUGAGAGGCGGACACGCUAGUGUUCGAUUAGCCGACGUUGAAAUACCACCCUUAUUGCAUUGGGUUUCUAACUCUGGACCGUGAAACCGGACAGGGGACAAUGUCAGGCGGGCAGUUUGACUGGGGCGGUCGCCUCCUAAAGAGUAACGGAGGCGCGCGAAGGUUCCCUCAGCACGGACGGAAAUCGUGCGUAGAGUGUAAAGGCAAAAGGGAGCUUGACUGCAAGAUCAACGAAUCAAGCAGGUACGAAAGUAGGCCUUAGUGAUCCGGCGGUAGUGAGUGGAAAUGCCGUCGCUCAACGGAUAAAAGGUACUCCGGGGAUAACAGGCUUAUCACGCCCAAGAGUUCACAUCGACGGCGUGGUUUGGCACCUCGAUGUCGGCUCAUCGCAUCCUGGGGCUGGAGCAGGUCCCAAGGGUUUGGCUGUUCGCCAAUUAAAGCGGUACGCGAGCUGCGCUCAGAACGUCGUGAGACAGUUCGGUCCCUAUCCAUUGCAGGCGUUGGAAGUUUGAGGAGAGCUGUUCCUAGUACGAGAGGACCGGAAUGGACGCACCUCUAGUAUACCGGUUGUCAUGCCAGUGGCAUUGCCGGGUAGCUAUGUGCGGAAGGGAUAACCGCUGAAAGCAUCUAAGCGGGAAGCCUCCUUCAAGAUUAA
RNAcentral lists this ribosomal RNA (1200 nucleotides) under metagenome. RNAcentral describes it as "bacterial LSU rRNA". It matches the Rfam family "Bacterial large subunit ribosomal RNA", at positions 1611 to 2808 of the family's 2925-position model. The record is from RNAcentral.